UACAGAGACCUCAAGCGUUAUCCGGAUUUACUGGGUGUAAAGGGUCCGUAGGUGGUAUAGCGGGUCAUGGGUUAAAACUUCGCGCUUAACGUGAAGACUGCUCGUGAAACUACUAUGCUAGAGGAUGGAAGAGGUAAGCGGAAUUGCAGGUGUAGUCGUAAUAAGCGUUGAUAUCUGCAAGAACACCAAAUGCGAAGGCAGCUUACUGGUACAUUCCUGACACUGAGGGACGAAAGCGUGGGGAGCAAACAGG
RNAcentral lists this ribosomal RNA (253 nucleotides) under uncultured bacterium. RNAcentral describes it as "partial 16S ribosomal RNA". It matches the Rfam family "Bacterial small subunit ribosomal RNA", at positions 524 to 776 of the family's 1533-position model. The record is from RNAcentral.